GUGGAACAGAGCCAGCAAAGCAGAGCCAUCAGGCUUUGCGGGGAGUUUCCAAACAGUCAAGUGUCUUUCAGUGGGCUGAAAUGAGUCUCCGUAGCUUUGUUCUGAGUCAGGGUGGACAAGUCUCUGUUUAGGAGGAGCUGACCCAUAUUGGUCAUGUUGGAGAUACUAAACCAGGAAGCUUCCCCAACUCUGGAUAAGGAAUUCUGAUUAUCAACAGGACAGGGAAACACAACAGAAUGAAAGAUUGUUUUCCAGUCUGAGAAAUCUCCAAGGCAAUGACAUCACCAUGUGUAAUUUGUCCCCUGUGUACUCAGAGAAGUCAAAGUCCUCAUGGACACUUAAAGCAUCAAGAGGCUGAACAUGAAAUGGGAAGAUUCUCCAAAAUAAACACGUUGAAACGUU
This is a long non-coding RNA of Peromyscus eremicus (cactus mouse), 402 nucleotides long. RefSeq lists it as uncharacterized. The transcript has 3 exons. NCBI's taxonomy places the organism in Eukaryota, Metazoa, Chordata, Mammalia, Rodentia, Cricetidae. The record is from RefSeq and is a predicted model, not a curated record.